RNAcentral lists this ribosomal RNA (1504 nucleotides) under Helicobacter pylori B8. Its description in RNAcentral is "16S ribosomal RNA". It matches the Rfam family "Bacterial small subunit ribosomal RNA". The record is from RNAcentral. Lineage: Bacteria; Pseudomonadati; Campylobacterota; Epsilonproteobacteria; Campylobacterales; Helicobacteraceae.
UUUAUGGAGAGUUUGAUCCUGGCUCAGAGUGAACGCUGGCGGCGUGCCUAAUACAUGCAAGUCGAACGAUGAAGCUUCUAGCUUGCUAGAGUGCUGAUUAGUGGCGCACGGGUGAGUAACGCAUAGGUCAUGUGCCUCUUAGUUUGGGAUAGCCAUUGGAAACGAUGAUUAAUACCAGAUACUCCCUACGGGGGAAAGAUUUAUCGCUAAGAGAUCAGCCUAUGUCCUAUCAGCUUGUUGGUAAGGUAAUGGCUUACCAAGGCUAUGACGGGUAUCCGGCCUGAGAGGGUGAACGGACACACUGGAACUGAGACACGGUCCAGACUCCUACGGGAGGCAGCAGUAGGGAAUAUUGCUCAAUGGGGGAAACCCUGAAGCAGCAACGCCGCGUGGAGGAUGAAGGUUUUAGGAUUGUAAACUCCUUUUGUUAGAGAAGAUAAUGACGGUAUCUAACGAAUAAGCACCGGCUAACUCCGUGCCAGCAGCCGCGGUAAUACGGAGGGUGCAAGCGUUACUCGGAAUCACUGGGCGUAAAGAGCGCGUAGGCGGGAUAGUCAGUCAGGUGUGAAAUCCUAUGGCUUAACCAUAGAACUGCAUUUGAAACUACUAUUCUAGAGUGUGGGAGAGGUAGGUGGAAUUCUUGGUGUAGGGGUAAAAUCCGUAGAGAUCAAGAGGAAUACUCAUUGCGAAGGCGACCUGCUGGAACAUUACUGACGCUGAUUGCGCGAAAGCGUGGGGAGCAAACAGGAUUAGAUACCCUGGUAGUCCACGCCCUAAACGAUGGAUGCUAGUUGUUGGAGGGCUUAGUCUCUCCAGUAAUGCAGCUAACGCAUUAAGCAUCCCGCCUGGGGAGUACGGUCGCAAGAUUAAAACUCAAAGGAAUAGACGGGGACCCGCACAAGCGGUGGAGCAUGUGGUUUAAUUCGAAGAUACACGAAGAACCUUACCUAGGCUUGACAUUGAGAGAAUCCGCUAGAAAUAGUGGAGUGUCUGGCUUGCCAGACCUUGAAAACAGGUGCUGCACGGCUGUCGUCAGCUCGUGUCGUGAGAUGUUGGGUUAAGUCCCGCAACGAGCGCAACCCCCUUUCUUAGUUGCUAACAGGUUAUGCUGAGAACUCUAAGGAUACUGCCUCCGUAAGGAGGAGGAAGGUGGGGACGACGUCAAGUCAUCAUGGCCCUUACGCCUAGGGCUACACACGUGCUACAAUGGGGUGUACAAAGAGAAGCAAUACUGCGAAGUGGAGCCAAUCUUCAAAACACCUCUCAGUUCGGAUUGUAGGCUGCAACUCGCCUGCAUGAAGCUGGAAUCGCUAGUAAUCGCAAAUCAGCCAUGUUGCGGUGAAUACGUUCCCGGGUCUUGUACUCACCGCCCGUCACACCAUGGGAGUUGUGUUUGCCUUAAGUCAGGAUGCUAAAUUAGCUACUGCCCACGGCACACACAGCGACUGGGGUGAAGUCGUAACAAGGUAACCGUAGGUGAACCUGCGGUUGGAUCACCUCCUUU